RNAcentral lists this ribosomal RNA (560 nucleotides) under Symbiodiniaceae sp. Its description in RNAcentral is "LSU rRNA". It matches the Rfam family "Eukaryotic large subunit ribosomal RNA", at positions 84 to 651 of the family's 3401-position model. The record is from RNAcentral. Lineage: Eukaryota; Dinophyceae; Suessiales; Symbiodiniaceae.
UAAUGGCGAAUGAACAGGGAAAAGCUCAGGCUGGAAACCAGAGCUCCGGUUCUGGGUUGUAGCUUGCAGACAAAGCGCUAUCGGCGGCUCGAGCGUAAGCCUCUUGGAACAGAGCGUGUGCCCAGGUGAGAAUCCUGUGUUUCGCUUGAUGUCCGCCGUAUACGGUGCUUGCUCUCAGAGUCACGCUCCUCGGAAUUGGAGCGUAAAUCAGGUGGUAGAUUUCAUCUAAAGCCAAAUACAGGCUCGAGACCGAUAGCGAACAAGUACCAUGAGGGAAAGAUGAAAAGGACUUUGGAAAGAGAGUUAAAAGUGCUUGAAAUCGCUGAAAGGGAAGCGAAUGGAACCACAUUCAUGGCUGAGAUUGCUGUAAGUGCUUGUGAAUGCUAGUCGCUCUGAUUGGGUGUGAGCAGGUACUUGCAGUGUUUCUUAGCUUGUGUGUCACUUGCCACAUAUGUGUGAGGAUGGCCUUUUGCACGCGCUCUCUGCUCGCGGGUAGAGAUUUGUGCUUUCUGGGAUUCACGCGUAUAUGGCAUGCUGAUUCAGUGGUUCCUUUCGACCCG